Transfer RNA from Homo sapiens (human), 72 nucleotides. It matches the Rfam family "tRNA". From Rfam's summary of the family: Transfer RNA (tRNA) molecules are approximately 80 nucleotides in length. Their secondary structure includes four short double-helical elements and three loops (D, anti-codon, and T loops). The record is from Rfam. Lineage: Eukaryota; Metazoa; Chordata; Mammalia; Primates; Hominidae.
UCCCUGGUGGUCUAGUGGCUAGGAUUCGGCGCUUUCACCGCCGCGGCCCGGGUUCGAUUCCCGGCCAGGGAA